UACGUAGGGGGCAAGCGUUGUCCGGAUUUAUUGGGCGUAAAGAGCGUGUAGGCGGCCAGACAGGUCCGUUGUGAAAACUCGAGGCUCAACCUCGAGAUGUCGAUGGAAACCGUCUGGCUAGAGUCCGGAAGAGGAGUGUGGAAUUCCUGGUGUAGCGGUGAAAUGCGUAGAUAUCGAGAGGAACACCUGCGGCGAAGGCGGGUAGCUGGGCCGACACUGACGCUGAGGCGCGAAAGCCAGGGGAGCGAACGGG
RNAcentral lists this ribosomal RNA (253 nucleotides) under uncultured bacterium. RNAcentral's name for it is "partial 16S ribosomal RNA". It matches the Rfam family "Bacterial small subunit ribosomal RNA", at positions 524 to 776 of the family's 1533-position model. The record is from RNAcentral.